CGUAGGUGCAAGCGUUAAUCGGAAUUACUGGCGUAAGCGUGCGCAGGCGGUUGUGUAAGUCAGAUGUGAAUCCCCGGCGUCAACCUGGGAAUUGCAUUUGAGACUGCACGGCUAGAGUGUGUCAGAGGGGUAGGAAUUCCACGUGUAGCAGUGAAAUGCGUAGAUAUGUGGAGGAAUACCGAUGGCGAAGGCAGCCCCUCGGGAUAACACUGACGCUCAUGCACGAAAGCGUGGGAGCAAACAGGAUU
RNAcentral lists this ribosomal RNA (248 nucleotides) under uncultured bacterium. RNAcentral describes it as "partial 16S ribosomal RNA". It matches the Rfam family "Bacterial small subunit ribosomal RNA", at positions 526 to 779 of the family's 1533-position model. The record is from RNAcentral.